UGUGUGUGUGUGUGUGUGUGUGUGUGUGUGUGUGUGUGUGUGUGUGUGUGUGUGUGUGUGUGUCCUCGUGCCUACAGAGCGUCCGACUGACAUGGCCAAUUAUUGGAAAUCGAGACCCAGAAAGGCACCGUCCCAAUCGCCGGGUGCCAUGUAACCCCCGGGACAUAGGCAGGGGAUGGGAGGCGCGCCACGGAUACCCGCCGCCACGGUACUUUGAGGACAUAGACCAUGGAUGUUAGGGAGGUGAUGGGUGCCCUGUAUCGAUGAAGAACUCCGUUCACCUGUCAUCCUGUGGGCCGUGAACCGUACAGCACACCAGCCUAUCACAGGUAAAAGGCGGCACCGGGAUGAACUUGCCACCAACACAGCAGUCAAAUCACUUCGCGGCACACCGCAGGGCCUCCACAUAGAAAGGUCUUCACACCCAGGCCGAGGGGAGGCACGCAGAACAAUGUUGUGACGUGCCUUGGUUUUUUUUGUCUCACGCGUCACCUAUGGAAUAACAGCUGCAGUACAUGCAGUACAAAAACAUGAGUCGGAUGAGCCGUUGUUCGCCGUCCCUUCACGCCACAAGGCAGCAAAACACCGAGACCUGACCUUCCAGCAACACUUGAAGCGUGAGCCUCACACCUGCAGAGCAAGACGGCACGCACUCCCCUCUCUUCCCUCCCCCGUUAUGUUGGCGGGACUCCGCAUCGAUAGCCAUGGAUUUCUGGUGACUGCCUGCUAGGCGAUCCAUUUCAUCAAGACAACAAUUCUUACACUCAUUGAAACUGCAGACGGUCACUGCUAAGGUUAUCAUUUCCUGUGGACUUCUGACAGGGAACAGAAAAUGAGGGAACAAACUGACACAGAUCCUAGUACUGAUUUCCUUUUGCAUACACCAACUAGAUAAAAAAAAAAAAUUCAUAUUAACACUUCACCCAAGGAAUGAAGUAAAUGGCUGACUCAUGUUCUCGUUGACUUGCAAGUCUUUUAGGUUAUUCAAACAAAAAUUGCACCUUUUUACUAAGUCAACUAUCAAAUUGUGAUGCUUCAACAGAGCGUUAGCAAGUCACCAAGGCAUAAUGUUAAAACUAUGUUCCUUAUGUGAACAUUGAAGUAAGCUUACUGGUGAGUAGUGUGAUAGCGCCGAGAUGUUCUGAAAGUUGCAACCCCUACUGUGAGGAUGCAGCAGGCACAGGUGAUGGAAGGUUAGGACACUGUCAAUAAGAAGUUUCCGGUGACACUUAUGACUCUCUGUCCAGUGUUGUAGGCGUAGCACAAUGAAGUUCCAAUAACAAACACAUGGAGGUUGUCUGUGUCUCUCCGGUCUGGUCAAUAACACGUGGGAUUUCUAUGACAGUCCUUGCAAUUUGAAUCACUCUUAAUGAACUCUGAUAUCAUCCAAACAAAUAAAAGUUAUUUUCACUUCAAGUAAUAAUUGUUUUCUAUACACUGUUUACAGGUAUGUUCUGCUUUUAAAUUACAGUUUUUGAAGUUGUCUUUCAAGACAGACCGUCAAUACAGGCUGAGUACACAUGAAUUAAAUAAGAUGACUGAGAAGACAGACUCCAGUUUGUCGAAUACCGUGGAGCGAAGCGUGUCUGUCGGCGGCGAGCCACCGCUUUGCUUUAGUCGGCGUGGAUUGAUGAAAAGAGUAUAACAAAAGCUGAUAAGAACACAGGAUUAGCCGAGACUUCUGAUAAAGGAGCCUGUUUAUCUCGGGAUCCGCGUAAGGUGAGGCAGAGUAUUAACAGCGAGAGGAGCAAGAGGCGUGAUGCGGGACUGAGGCGAGAAUGUACUGCACACGCUGCC
This 1797-nucleotide long non-coding RNA is filed under the name Portunus trituberculatus (swimming crab). Its description in RNAcentral is "uncharacterized LOC123498392". The record is from RNAcentral. Lineage: Eukaryota; Metazoa; Arthropoda; Malacostraca; Decapoda; Portunidae.